Elephantulus edwardii (Cape elephant shrew) is the source of this 74-nucleotide non-coding RNA. The record is from the annotation of a RefSeq genome assembly. NCBI's taxonomy places the organism in Eukaryota, Metazoa, Chordata, Mammalia, Macroscelidea, Macroscelididae.
GGUUCUAUGGCUUAGUUGGUUAAAGCGCCUGUCUUGUAAACAGGAGAUCCUGGGUUUGAGUCCCAGUAGAGCCU